AGAGUUUGAUCAUGGCUCAGAUUGAACGCUGGCGGCAGGCCUAACACAUGCAAGUCGAGCGGUAGCACAGAGAGCUUGCUCUCGGGUGACGAGCGGCGGACGGGUGAGUAAUGUCUGGGAAACUGCCUGAUGGAGGGGGAUAACUACUGGAAACGGUAGCUAAUACCGCAUAACGUCGCAAGACCAAAGUGGGGGACCUUCGGGCCUCAUGCCAUCAGAUGUGCCCAGAUGGGAUUAGCUAGUAGGUGGGGUAACGGCUCACCUAGGCGACGAUCCCUAGCUGGUCUGAGAGGAUGACCAGCCACACUGGAACUGAGACACGGUCCAGACUCCUACGGGAGGCAGCAGUGGGGAAUAUUGCACAAUGGGCGCAAGCCUGAUGCAGCCAUGCCGCGUGUGUGAAGAAGGCCUUCGGGUUGUAAAGCACUUUCAGCGGGGAGGAAGGCGAUAAGGUUAAUAAGCUUGUCGAUUGACGUUACCCGCAGAAGAAGCACCGGCUAACUCCGUGCCAGCAGCCGCGGUAAUACGGAGGGUGCAAGCGUUAAUCGGAAUUACUGGGCGUAAAGCGCACGCAGGCGGUCUGUCAAGUCGGAUGUGAAAUCCCCGGGCUCAACCUGGGAACUGCAUUCGAAACUGGCAGGCUAGAGUCUUGUAGAGGGGGGUAGAAUUCCAGGUGUAGCGGUGAAAUGCGUAGAGAUCUGGAGGAAUACCGGUGGCGAAGGCGGCCCCCUGGACAAAGACUGACGCUCAGGUGCGAAAGCGUGGGGAGCAAACAGGAUUAGAUACCCUGGUAGUCCACGCCGUAAACGAUGUCGAUUUGGAGGUUGUGCCCUUGAGGCGUGGCUUCCGGAGCUAACGCGUUAAAUCGACCGCCUGGGGAGUACGGCCGCAAGGUUAAAACUCAAAUGAAUUGACGGGGGCCCGCACAAGCGGUGGAGCAUGUGGUUUAAUUCGAUGCAACGCGAAGAACCUUACCUGGUCUUGACAUCCACAGAACUUUCCAGAGAUGGAUUGGUGCCUUCGGGAACUGUGAGACAGGUGCUGCAUGGCUGUCGUCAGCUCGUGUUGUGAAAUGUUGGGUUAAGUCCCGCAACGAGCGCAACCCUUAUCCUUUGUUGCCAGCGGUUAGGCCGGGAACUCAAAGGAGACUGCCAGUGAUAAACUGGAGGAAGGUGGGGAUGACGUCAAGUCAUCAUGGCCCUUACGACCAGGGCUACACACGUGCUACAAUGGCAUAUACAAAGAGAAGCGACCUCGCGAGAGCAAGCGGACCUCAUAAAGUAUGUCGUAGUCCGGAUUGGAGUCUGCAACUCGACUCCAUGAAGUCGGAAUCGCUAGUAAUCGUAGAUCAGAAUGCUACGGUGAAUACGUUCCCGGGCCUUGUACACACCGCCCGUCACACCAUGGGAGUGGGUUGCAAAAGAAGUAGGUAGCUUAACCUUCGGGAGGGCGCUUACCACUUUGUGAUUCAUGACUGGGGUGAAGUCGUAACAAGGUAACCGUAGGGGAACCUGCGGUUGGAUCACCU
This 1528-nucleotide ribosomal RNA is filed under the name Klebsiella pneumoniae BIDMC 18D. RNAcentral describes it as "bacterial SSU rRNA". It matches the Rfam family "Bacterial small subunit ribosomal RNA". Lineage: Bacteria; Pseudomonadati; Pseudomonadota; Gammaproteobacteria; Enterobacterales; Enterobacteriaceae. The record is from RNAcentral.